This 401-nucleotide ribosomal RNA is filed under the name uncultured microorganism. RNAcentral describes it as "bacterial SSU rRNA". It matches the Rfam family "Archaeal small subunit ribosomal RNA", at positions 330 to 735 of the family's 1478-position model. The record is from RNAcentral.
GCGCACCAGGCGCGAAACCUUCGCAAUGCGGGAAACCGCGACGAGGGACCCCAGUGCCUACGCUCAGCGUAGGCUGUUCCCGAGCCUAGAAAGCUCGGGGAGUAAGGGCUGGGUAAGACGGGUGCCAGCCGCCGCGGUAAUACCCGCAGCCCGAGUGGUGGCCACUAUUAUUGGGCCUAAAGCGUCCGUAGCCGGCCCGGUAAAUGCCUGGGUAAAUCGUGAGGCCUAACCUCACGAAUUCCGGGUAGACUGCCGGGCUAGGGACCGGAGGAGGGAGAGGGUACUCCAGGGGUAGGGGUGAAAUCCUGUAAUCCCUGGAGGACCACCGGUGGCGAAGGCGCUCUCCUAGGACGGGUCCGACGGUGAGGGACGAAAGCCAGGGGAGCGAACCGGAUUAGAUA